UAAAAAGAUGAUUUACAAAUGGCCAAGCCAAU
RNAcentral lists this non-coding RNA (32 nucleotides) under Mus musculus (house mouse). Lineage: Eukaryota; Metazoa; Chordata; Mammalia; Rodentia; Muridae. The record is from RNAcentral.